RNAcentral lists this non-coding RNA (27 nucleotides) under Mus musculus (house mouse). The record is from RNAcentral. Lineage: Eukaryota; Metazoa; Chordata; Mammalia; Rodentia; Muridae.
AAGGUUCCCAUAAGUACCAUGGUUUCA